AUGCACGCUGGCGGCGUGCCUUAUACAUGCAAGUCGAGUGGGUUUAGACCCACGGCAAACGGGUGAGUAACACGUAGGUACUUUCCUUGUCACAGGAAUAACCCUCCGAAAGGAGGGCUAAUACCUGAUGUGAUCGCAAGAUUAAAGGGUAUCCGCAAGGAUUACCGGACAAGAAGAGGCCUGCGGCCUAUCAGCUAGUUGGCGGGGUAAAUGCCCACCAAGGCUAUGACGGGUAGCUGGUCUUAUGAGGAUGAUCAGUCACAUGGGCACUGAGACACGGGCCCAACUCCUACGGGAGGCAGCAGUAGGGAAUUUUGCGCAAUGGGCGAAAGCCUGACGCAGCGACGCCGCGUGCGGGAUGAAGGCCUUCGGGUCGUAAACCGCUUUUAUAAGGGACGAACUUUGACGGUACCUUAUGAAUAAGAGGUUGCUAACUCUGUG
This 441-nucleotide ribosomal RNA is filed under the name uncultured bacterium. RNAcentral's name for it is "partial 16S ribosomal RNA". It matches the Rfam family "Bacterial small subunit ribosomal RNA", at positions 29 to 507 of the family's 1533-position model. The record is from RNAcentral.